This is a non-coding RNA of Pelodiscus sinensis (Chinese soft-shelled turtle), 2384 nucleotides long. The record is from RefSeq and is a predicted model, not a curated record. Lineage: Eukaryota; Metazoa; Chordata; Testudines; Trionychidae.
GAAUGAGAUUUCACGUGAGAGAAUCUCCUGGACUCAAACAAGAGGCGACGUUAGGAACAUCUGGCAGGGUGUCUCAAAGCCAAGGAAAAAUGGAUACAUGUCUCUAGGCAUUACAGAUGGGAUUUUCAGGCCCAACCUGUGACCAGCCCUUUGUGUCCCUGCUGCUUUACUACAUUCAACCCAAGGAAGCACUGUGGUGAGAGGAAAAGAGCAGCGAAGUCCUGCCUAGAGAGGCCUGACUGGAGCAGCCAUUUUGGAAACUAGAGAGACAUGAUCCUCCCAGGUCUAGAAGGGGUUAGCAACAGCCAAUCAGCACCUUGCAGGCUCAGAUAAAAGGAGUGGCGUCACCACGUCAGUUGGUAGUUGAGAGCUGAGGAGUGAACAAGGGGGCUUUGCUCUGGCCGGCCUCAUCUUGAAUUUCUACCACGCCCAAAUCUCCCAUUGACUUCAAGGAACCGGAUAAGCUUAUUGUGGGAGCUGGGUCAGAGCCACUCUGGCAGUUUCGCUACAAGAAGCGCCAGCGUUCAUCAGCACUGGAAUGCGCGUGGCGCUCAGAUAACUAACACGGUGUGUUAUAUCAGGAUUUACGGGGAAAGAGAGCGUUCCAAAAACCCAGCCCUUGAUGGUGCGGAGUUACCUUUUCCCAUCUGCUCAGCUGUGCCCUAGGAGAAUCGAGGACAUAACUCUCAGCUACCCUCAGGUGGCAGAAUCCCAGAAUGUUGCACCCAGCUCUGAAGAGUCAGAUGGUUUCUUCUCUCUGGAUUGACUCUCAGCUGCCUUGAUGGGUUCAUAACGGUUCUGAGCUGGCAGUGAUGGGAUGUUUUCCUCCAGAAAAUGAGGACAACUGAGGCAGACAAGCGGUGGGCCUUGUAGAAAGCUGCACAGCGAGUAAAUGGCAAAGUAGGCAGAACCCAGGAGUUCUGGUGGACCACCUCUGCUCUCAUUUCUCCAAUCAACAAACUGAGACUUUCUGCUGCUGCUUCUGCUGGGGGUCAACGUGGAGACCCUGGUCGGCGUUGCAUCAGACAGUGAAGAUGAACUGGGCCUGCCUUUUUUCUCCUCAGUGCCACUACAAAUGAUUGAAGAGAUGUGGAGGAGGAUGUUGGUGAGAAGUUUAAGAGGAGGCUUGGCCUGGAACUGACUGAGCCAGUUGCGUGUCACGUGCGUAAGAAAGGCAGGGGGCCUGUGGCAGUCUCCUAGCGUGACAUCCAGCUGGCUGAAAAUAGAUGCCACCGGGCAGUUCACCAGGCCCACCUUGUUCUCCCUGGCGAGGUCCACUCUGUCUUCUUUUACAGUCUUGUGACAAAGGUGCUAAGCCAUGGAGCUGAUCUCGUUUCAUGGAGCGGUGGCAUUCCUAUUUGCGCAUGUCACACAGAAACCAGCCCGACCUGUGUUCUGUGCCCCAUGGAGCCACACAGGUGACGACCCUACCCCCAUUUCCAUUUGUGCUGGAGAACCUUUCCUCGGGAAGACACCGAGCGAAUAGCUUCCUUGCCCAGCACGAACGGCUCUGCAGGGGCUUAAUCUUGCAAUGUGCAAAGCACGCCGGUGAGAUGUCGCCCUUCCUUAGACUCUUCCCACAUUUAGCGUCCAUCUACACAGCAACGUUAUUCUGAACUAACUGAGUCCGCGUCUACGCACAAGCCGUUAUUUCGACAGAAUGCUGAAAUAGUGUCGAGCUGGAGGACUGCUCAUGCCGACUCCUGGAACCCUCAUUGCACGAGGAGUAAGGGAAGUCGGAGGAUGAGGACUCUAUUUCGAAAUAAGUGCUGUGUCUACGCUCUCACUUUUGAAAUAAGUGACGCGAGUAGCGUAGCUCAAGUUGCGUCGCUUAUUUCAAGUUAAGCCCUGCUGUGUAGACGUACCCUUAGUGGAAGCUGAUGGUGCAACACUUUGGAGCACCAAGACACACUGAGACCAGAACAACACAGGACUUUUUUCACUCUGGUAUUGACAUUUGGAGAUACAGGAAUGUAUUUCCUCUUGCCAUCUGAAGGUUAAGGCAAUUCCAGAGCUGACUGGCGCGUAUUUGCUUUGAUAAAGAGUUAAGCAGGCAGCAGGGCGUAUGUUCAUAGUGCUGGUGGCAGCGAUGCUUACAAGGAGGCACCUUUCUUUGUUCCUUUAAUGAUUCACUACUUGGGAGUGUGGGAAUCAACUUAUAUAAAGUUUUGCUAGUACGUAGAUACACCAAGAGCCUGAAAUAGUGGAUUGGUGAGAACCUGAGACAGAAACUCUACGCGUUGUCCUGGUGGCCCAGAAAAAACAAAACUGGAAAGGGCUACAGAGGGCACCCCUCCUAGAUACGAGGAAGUAGUCAUUUGUCAUUUUUUAAUUUAUUGCUUUUUGCGUCUUAUUAAAAAGGCUGCCGGCAGAAGCAUGCAGUA